RNAcentral lists this unclassified non-coding RNA (229 nucleotides) under plant metagenome. Its description in RNAcentral is "partial contains small subunit ribosomal RNA, internal transcribed spacer 1, and 5.8S ribosomal RNA". The record is from RNAcentral.
UCUCCGUAGGUGAACCUGCGGAGGGAUCAUUACAGAGUUCAUGCCCUACCGGGUAUAUCUCCCACCCUAUGUUAUUAUUACUUUGUUGCUUUGGCGGGCCGUUAGGCUCCUGCCCGACUACCGGCCCCGGCUGGUAAGCGACCGCCAGAGGACCCAAAACCCUGAAUAUUAGUGUCGUCUGAAUACUAUAUAAUAGUUAAAACUUUCAACAACGGAUCUCUUGGUUCUG